This 281-nucleotide long non-coding RNA is filed under the name Capsella rubella. Its description in RNAcentral is "long non-coding RNA (CRUB_LNC003510)". Lineage: Eukaryota; Viridiplantae; Streptophyta; Magnoliopsida; Brassicales; Brassicaceae. The record is from RNAcentral.
CGGACAUGAAGUUGCUCACCAGCACAACAGUUUUUUUUUUUUUUUUGGUAUCAAACCAGAAAACAAAUCACAUCGUUUAUUUUCUUUUUCUUUAUAUUAUGUGAUGAAGAAGCUAAUCAUAUCGUAUAUCAAUCGAGUCGUACCAUAUAUAUAUCACUGUCGUCAGAGGUUGAGUUUAACGAUCCAAAAACCGCAUUUACCUAUUGGGAUCACACCGGGGUCUUGACUACUAUGACAGUAGCAACCACAUUUGUCUUCCCAAUGUUAGCAUGAAACUGCAC